UACGUAGGUCACAAGCGUUAAUCGGAUUUAUUGGGCGUAAAGGGUCCGCAGGGGGUAUAUCAAGUUAGAUGUGAAAUCCUAUGGCUCAACCAUAGAACUGCAUUUAAAACUGAUGUACUGGAGUGUUGGAGAGGAGAGCAGAAUUCUUGGUGUAGCGGUGGAAUGCUUAGAUAUCAAGAGGAAUACCAAAAGCGAAGGCAGCUCUCUGGACAACUACUGACCCUCAUGGACGAAAGCGUGGGUAGCAAACAGG
RNAcentral lists this ribosomal RNA (253 nucleotides) under uncultured bacterium. RNAcentral describes it as "partial 16S ribosomal RNA". It matches the Rfam family "Bacterial small subunit ribosomal RNA", at positions 524 to 776 of the family's 1533-position model. The record is from RNAcentral.